Molecule: ribosomal RNA, 165 nt
Filed under: Culex quinquefasciatus (southern house mosquito)
Lineage: Eukaryota; Metazoa; Arthropoda; Insecta; Diptera; Culicidae
Description: partial 12S ribosomal RNA
Source: RNAcentral
AAAAUUUAAAAAAUUUGGCGGUAUUUUAGUCUAUUCAGAGGAAUCUGUCCUGUAAUUGAUAGUCCACAUUGAACCUUACUUAAAUUUGUUUAAUUUGUAUAUCGCCGUCAUCAGAAUAUAUUAUAAGAUAAAAUUUUCUUAAUAUUUUAAUAAAAUAAUAUGUCA